This 148-nucleotide ribosomal RNA is filed under the name Campylobacter jejuni. RNAcentral describes it as "partial 16S ribosomal RNA". It matches the Rfam family "Bacterial small subunit ribosomal RNA", at positions 1 to 141 of the family's 1533-position model. Lineage: Bacteria; Pseudomonadati; Campylobacterota; Epsilonproteobacteria; Campylobacterales; Campylobacteraceae. The record is from RNAcentral.
UUUUUAUGGAGAGUUUGAUCCUGGCUCAGAGUGAACGCUGGCGGCGUGCCUAAUACAUGCAAGUCGAACGAUGAAGCUUCUAGCUUGCUAGAAGUGGAUUAGUGGCGCACGGGUGAGUAAGGUAUAGUUAAUCUGCCCUACACAAGAG